GCGCAUACAUACAGUGGCCGUCGCCUCUCAGCCGUCGUGCUUCGCGUCUCACUCUCGAUCACACACGGGCUCACACUCACAAUUCUUUCUGCCAAGAUGACGAGGACGGCUACCCUGUCGACGCUGCUCCUCCUGCCUCUCGCAUUCCUCCUCCUCCUCCCAGUGCCGGUACCAGGUACGUACGUCGUUUCAUUCACAAAAUAAGUAGUAUCUGGAUAACUAACUGGAUCAUGCAUGCAUGCAGCUACAGAUUAAUAAGUAAAACUGUGGUGGUAUUCUUCUUCUUCUUCUUCUUCUUCUUCUUCUUCUUCUUCUUCUUCUUCUUCUUCUUCUUCUUCUUCUUCUUCUAUGCUAAAAGUUAAUUAAACUGGGAUGCAUUCAUGAUGUCGAUCUGUUUAUUCCCUUCUUCUUAUUGCUGCAGCUCCGCGGGGCACUAUCUGCACUAGCCAGAUCAUCAGGAACACCAUCUCUCCGUGUGACCGCGAGGGAUGUUUAUUCUGGGUAGCCUACGCCCAGAUAGGGUGCCCUACUGGUGCGGUCUGCGACUGGAACGGCGUGUGCAGCAGGCAUGACUGCAACUUCACCUUGUGCAAGAAUUAUGGGAACCACCCUGCAGCUGCAACCACCUUACUUCCCUAAGAAAAGAUUAUAGCAUGUCGAUCUAGCUAGCUAGUAGAAUAACCAUUAUACGUACCUGAAACAAUAUAUAAAAACACGUACAGCUAUGCAACUAUAUUACUUGUUUCGUCGCCAAAUAAUACUCGUCUGGUCUGCGUUCUCAUGCGUGCCAUCAUCGUCUUCGUCCUUCUCUACGCGCACGGAUUCAUUUGAGUUGGAGCACCACCGAGCCGUCGAUUUCGCCCGUCUUCUCCGACUACGGCCGCCGUUCAUCAGCACCGAUACGAUUCAUCGCCGAUAAAGCAUCCCCGAGCCCACUGACCUGCCUCGUGUGCUGUGAGCUCCACGCCAUUCCUCCCCUUGUACUCCUCCUUGCGCACGUCCUCUAGCCGCGUCGGUCACCAGCCCGAGCUCCGGCCGUCGCCAUGGCCGUACGUCGAGCUCCUCAGCUUCAACAAGCGCUGCACCAACGUGUUCCUGGUCUGGUGAACCGUUGAUGCCUCCCAGCCGCUCCGUUUGCUCCAACUCGCGCCCUAAUUAACGCCGACGCCCGCAACCAUCGAACCCCGGUCGCCACUUGGCAUGUCGCCACCGCCACAGGGCAUCCCCGACAGCCCCGAGGGCACCAAUGGAAGCGCCGCACCUCCAGCUCCCCAGCGCACCCACUCGCGCGUUCUCCCAUCUCCUGUGGGGCAAUUCCGGCGAGGUCCCGCUCUGCCGCCGCUGCGUUCGGUCGUCGCCGGCGCGCGCCGUCAGUUUAAACCGGGCCCUGGGUCACUGCCAGUGGGCCCAGACGGAUUAACUACUGAUUAGUGCUAACCCUAAUUGCUGCUAACAGACACUUACAUGUGGGUCCCGAUGCUAAUAAAACAAGGUUAAUACAUAUAUUAACUCUGUGUCACCAAUAGGUGGUCCCCACCUGCUAGUUUGACUGGUUAAAGAUUGACCCAGUCAAUGCUGCUGGCCUGCUGACUAGGCAGCCCUGGCCCAGUGUCAGCCUCAGUGGCUAGCCCAAUGUUAGGUGACAAAAGAAUUUUCUGUGCAUAAUUCGAAUUAAAAAUAAAUACUGUACAUAAUAAAUCAUUUAAACUUUGAAAAAUCAUAUAAACUAAACCAUAGCUUAGAUGAAAAUAGUUUAUAUAUAUAUAAUGAUUAGAAAAAUAUGACAAACCAAAAUAUGCCAUCCAUAUAUCUGCCACACCCCUCUAACAUAAUGAACAUGGAACAUUUGCACCUGGAUCAACACAAAUUGAUGUUGGAUAUUAAUAUACUACUCCCUCCGUCCCAUAAUAUAAUAUAGAAGCGUUUUUUACACUGACAAAGGAAGUAUUUUACAAUUUUCAGUAAAUAAUAAAUUAAUUUUUUGUUAUUGUUUUCUCCCCUUUUACGAUCUAAUUAUACUCACUAUUUAUAUACUACCACUGUUUCUAAAUGUAAAAUGUUUCGGAAGUUUAAAUUAAAUUGUCAAAAUGUCAUAUAUUAGGAACUGAUGGUGUGAUAAAUUGUAUGAUUUUUUUUUACUUUAGGUCAAUGAAUGCACAUUUGAUCGAGAUAAAUGUAUACUCCUACUUGCUGUAACUUGCAUAAAAAGGAACAAAUAGGAUAGUAGAUCGACUGAGAGUCACACUGAGUGUAGCGUUGUGGUAUGGCUACAGAGAGGACAACCAUGUAUCGAGGAACUUCUGUCUCCUAAAUUAACUCUAUGAUUAUGAAAUAAAACUCUUGUAUCCUUGCAAAAAGGAAACUUGCACACAAAAAUUGUAUUCCAAAGUUUCAAGCAACUGAAAAUGGUAAACAAUACCUUUAGGAUUGGCCGUUCAUCUUCCACCUCGAGAGCAUUCCCCACAAAUCUGUAAGUUUUCAUUUCCUUCCUAUAUAUUUUCUCUUCCUACUUGAUGUCUCACCUCUCCACCUGUACUCCCCAUUUCUAUCGCACUUUACAGUCCCCCCUACCCCGUACCACAUUACCUUGCUUGUUGCCGUCGCGGAGGAGAUGCAUAUCUCGUUCUCGAUCCAACGAUGGCGGCAACCGGUUCGCAGAGAAAGAAGUCCCACUAAUCUCUUCAUGCUCGUUCCAAGUUCGAAGCACCUUUUGGCGAAAGAAAAAUCCGCUUCCUGACAACGGGGAAUAGGGAUGGUUGGACAUGACAUGAUGGGACUGUUGAAAUAUAUUGUUUGCAUCUCUCUACAAGUUCGGACUUUUAAAGCAACUGGCUGAAGCAUGAAUUCAAAUAUGAUAUCCGAACCAAAAGGUCUUGAAUUCAAGACCCUACCAAUGCAGUAUUAAAAAAUAAUUUUGUGGCCUACAUCGAUCCUACGUCUAAGGACCAAAAUAGCGUAGAUGUGACAGGGAGUGAAAUAUAUUGCCCGCCUCACUGAAGCUUGAAUUCAAUAGGGACAAUAGCCCAAUGAAGCUAGUUCCUAUCGUCAAGAGAAUGUAGAGCUUAGUAAUGGCAGUACAGAGGCGAGGAAAGCGAUAACACAAUUGUUUUUUUUUCAGGGUAAAGCAAAGCUUUAUAACUUAACGAUGCUCGGGUAAAUCACCCGAUACACAAACAGCCACUUGGGCCGGUACAAUAGAGUUUCACUCAAAACAUUCAUUCGAUAAACAAAGAUGACCUAACUUGGCUAGUUCAUGCGCAACAGAUUUUGCAGUAUGGCAGGACAAACUCGGGGAAGGUAGAAAUCCAGCUUUUCCCUAGCCGGUGGCCUUUCCCUAGCUUAUCAGACGGAGGGAACCGAUGGUUGUUUCCUAACAAUACGCGAUCCUCAAGGCGAUAUUUCAACUAUCAUUUUCACUGGAAAAUGUUGUUUCAAACAGAACUAAUUUCACAAUGCAAGAGUUACAUUUCACAAACGAAUUUUAAACAGUUUUAAAUCCGGCUUGGUGUUAUCAACAUCGACAUUUUUUUUCUUCUCUAACAAUGAUAAAAUCUAAAACAACCUACAUUGCGGCACCAAAUGUUCGGCGAGCUCUUUAUGUUGGACGAUCUCUUAGCUUUAGCAGGCAAUGCAGCUAUUACAUAACUCACGUUUCCGUGUACACCAGAAAAUGAAAAUAGUCGCGUGAACAUAUAUCUGAAUGCAAGCAAAGGAUGAUAAGACAAAAGAAAAGGGAAAAAACAAAUGUACAGCCCAUGAAUAGCACUUCAAAAGAAAAAGGGAAAAAUGCAGAAGUGGAAAUAUUUUGUUACAGCAAGUUACCUUCCUUCACCACCACUCCAGAAUACAGUUUGUACAAACACCAGUGCAUCAGAAAAUACCAAAUUGGUGUCAUAAUGCAACACCCACAAAACUCUUGCCGUCCCGUAUAACAAUAUCCUACGCAAAAUGAAUGAGAAAUGGAAAAGAAGAAAGCAGCUUAAGCCACAGUGAAGCUACUAAUCAAUUUACAAUUUCCCUCACAUUUACAAAUUACAGCUACAUUUUCCCAAGUGUGUAUAUGGUGCCGAAUAGCUCAAUUGUACUCUCGCCGAUCCUGAUGGGUACGGGAAUGUUGAAGACUGUCACGCCACUGCGCGCCUGCAUAUGCAAAGAAUUUGCUAUCCUGUUCUACAUAGUAACAUUUUCGAAAUGCAGACUGGCGGAUAUCCGUGAGCCCAUUGUUACAACCCAUCUCCUGUAUAAUAUGAACACCUAGCGCCCAAAGAUAUGAGCAUGUCCGAAUUCUCCAUGGCUAGCCCUCGACGAUAUUAGCACAAACAUGUCCACAGUAGGCUAAAUGGAAGAUGGAGCCUGAGCAGUGAGCGUGUACGAUCUACUGCGACAACUCACAAUCUCCAAGCGACGAAUCAUAGUGGAAGAAGAUUCCGGAUAUACUGCCGGGAAGCACUGUUUCGUCCAAGGCCGAGUCCUAGGCCGAAUGGUGUCCUCUCAUUCUUCUUGCUGUGGUCGCAACACUGAGAGGAACCACCUUGAGUGUGAGAGUUUGAGUUGGCAUGUGAAUCAGCACAGGCAUGGUCAUCGCAAUUACCAUGAUGGGAAUGGCCCUCGCCAUUCUGUGAGACUGCACUUGUCAUCUGUAUCAUUCCUAUUUCUUCGUCAGUGCGUGAUGCAUGCUCGAGCCGCUCAACGUCCUCAUUGUACCCGUUUACCAAGAAGUCUGAGCAGUUCUUGCGCACCCCAUGGUCGAACGGGUUUCUGAAUCUGCCAGCUGGACCUCUUAGAUAAGUGUAUCUCAUGGAAUUGGCCAUCUCGUUGGUUGUGAUGUUCCUUGCUAUCUACAAGGGAGAGAAAUAAGACAUGAAGAAGAAUACAUGGUACAGAUCAAUAUGUCCCUCCUGUAGUCCAGGGAGGCUAUAACUACUGGAUGGAAAACAUGGUCCCACACAUAAACCUCACAGAUAGCUUCAUAAAUCAAAUAAGCAGACAAUGAUGUUUCGCACCACGUGGCACAUGUGGUAAGCAAUCCAAACAAUUCAAAGAAAAAAAAGACAAUGAUCUUUCGCAUCUAGCCUUGGUUUUAGCUCUGUUCAGUAAUUGCAUUCUUGACUUUGCUAUUGAAUUCCAAACAUGAUACAGUUUUAUUGACAAAUGUCUAACUAUAUUGCCUGACCAAUAAUGUUGUGUUCAUACUUGAUAGGUCAUAUACUCAUGAAUGAGCUGACAACGACAUGCCAAUCUGGCAUAUCCAGCAAUUUCCAUAGAAAAAUGAUCCAGCAAGGCACAAAUAUCUGGGAAAACUCUAGUAAAGGCGUUACCGCAGUAGCAUACUUUCCGUAAAAAAAGAUCCAGCAAGGCACAAAUAAUGUUAUGUUUAGCAUGUUUUAUACAAGUUCAUGCCUAGUUUAGUUAGCAACCAAAAAAUGUUGAAGAUUGUGCUACAAGGCACAAGCAUAUUGGUGGCUUCAUGAUUUUAGAAUCAAAUAACAGAUAACUUGGUUUUUUUACGUAAAAGCAUCAAGAUUUAUAACAUUAAAACUUUAAAUACCUGG
This 5552-nucleotide long non-coding RNA is filed under the name Triticum aestivum (bread wheat). Its description in RNAcentral is "long non-coding RNA (TAES_LNC018554)". Lineage: Eukaryota; Viridiplantae; Streptophyta; Magnoliopsida; Poales; Poaceae. The record is from RNAcentral.